RNA transcript from Daphnia pulex (common water flea), 2307 nucleotides. RefSeq lists it as uncharacterized. The transcript has 5 exons. Lineage: Eukaryota; Metazoa; Arthropoda; Branchiopoda; Diplostraca; Daphniidae. The record is from RefSeq and is a predicted model, not a curated record.
UUCUUUUGUUUUAGAUCUUGAUGUUUGUGCUGAGUUAUUUCUGUGGAUGUUGUUUACUGGACUCAUUUUUCUAGUUUUUGUGAAAGGCAGUUUUUUGUUUUUAAGAUUUUAAUUUUUUCUUUUCUUUUCUUUAUGCAGGGACCUACAGAAGAAAAGCCAUCCAUCAAGUGGACGGAAAAUUCUGAUUGCAGGAUUUUUAAAUUAAAUGGGCAUGUUGGUUGCUGAAAUCAUGUUCCCUAAAUGGUAAGUUGCGAGUUAAUAUUUAAAGUUUUUUUCAGCAGGAAGAGUGUGGUGGGAGAAUUCCACCCCGUCCGAUCUGGUUGAAUUCACACAACCGAAAAAAAGUGUCUGGUCCCCGUUCUUAUGCUGAGACCCGUACGAAUUGUUUAGCUGGGUCUCUGAACGACUAGCUAAAAAAUAGCUUUACGUACGUAGUGUCCAAAUGCCACCUAAAGAGAAAGAACCUUCUCGAUACUUAAAACGAAAAUGGGGAGUUGAAGAAGCAUAUUUGGAUCUGCAGCUACAUAUGAAGGAACAAAUAGAAUUGUCUAUCAGUGACGGCAUUGGCAUUGGCUGAUGACGAGUUAUUUGGAAACAACACUUACGAAAGGUGAUAUGGAUGAUUACAUUUUUAUGGAAGGCCUGAAAGACUGUGAUCGUGGCAAUUACCUUGCUUUAGUUUGCUUGGAAUAUAAACUGAAACAUAGACUAUCUAAUGCUGCGUUCAAGGAUCAUCUGAGAAUUCUGAAAUUGUUUACUGGAUCAACUGUCAAAGAAAUGACAAGUGCAGCCAAGUGUGCAGAAAAAUAUGAGAAGGUUAUACAACCAACUAAGAAGAUCUUUGUAUGCAAUGAAAAAAACUGCGAUACUGUACUGAAAACUGGUGCCGAUGGUGUACCUUUAGCUUCACAGCCAUGUGGCCAUCGCUUUAGCAAGGAAACAAAAAAUUACUAUUUUUUAGUGCUAUCUAUCGAGCAACAAAUUCAGUAUUUGUUGGAGAGUGGCGCAGCUCAAUGGUUUGUAAUAAGCAGAACAACUGUGACGGUAAAACAAGAGGAGAUAUUCAAACUGGAGACUUGUAUCGAGACAAAGUUAGAAUCACUGAUGAGCCAGUUACAUCACUCUGCAACUUAACACAGACGGAGCUGAGUGUCACAAAAAAAGCAAAUUUACUUUUUGGGCAUUUAUGGGAGUACCUAACGAACUCCCUUACUGGUUAAGAAGAUCAAAUAUUCUCUUAUUCGCCUUAUGGUACGGUAACAAAAAGCCCCCAAGUGGACCUUUCCUUGAAGCCUCAAUAUCGGAACUCCAGCAGCUUGGGACCAAAGGAGUGCAGUUCAAUCAACGAACUUAUUUGGUGAAGCCAUUAAUUCUCACAACAGAUUCCAUGGCACGCAGUGUUUUUCUAAAUGGUUCCACUUUCCGAGGAGAGUGUGGAUGCGAUUUUUGUCUUCAUCCUGGAGAGAUGGUUAAAAUUGGCCGUGGAAGUACAAGUGUGUACCCCGAACCGACCUCAAAUCCUACUUUUGCACCGAGAACUAUUGAACAGCACGAACGUGAUCUGAUGGUAUUUCAAUACUGUUCUGGGUAACGGGAAACGCCUCAACGGAAUUAAAGGCCCUUCUCCAUUUUUGGCUCUUUUUGAUUUUGAUUACGUCGAGGCGCAAGUACCGGAUUAUCUGCAUUGUGUCUGCCAAGGAGGAAUUAAGUUUCUGGUGGACUUAUGGACAUUGACCAAAUAUUUUAAACAACCUUGGUACUUGAAUGAAAAAAAAAAAAAUUUUAGAUGCUCGUCUGAAGCAAAUGAAGCCACCUUAUGAGAUAACACGGACGUCCAGCCCAUUGUCUGAUAUAGGUCAGUGGAAAGCAUCCAACUUCAGAGCUUUUGCUUUGUACUACUUCACAGCGCUUGAAGACCUCCUGCCGAAGGUGUAUUUCGAUCACUUUCUGUGCCUCAUAUAUGGAAUUCAAGUCUUGUUACAAGAGGAGGUAUGUAACAGUUAACCUCGUUCAAGAAAUGGAUUUCCUUUUUCAACACUUCGUUCGUGAAGCUGAAGUUUUAUAUGGACAUCAAAACAUGCGUUUCAAUUUCCACUUGAUAACGCAUUUAGCUCGUGCUACGCUAAAUUGGGGAUGCAUUUGGAGCUGGUCGACCUUCAUUCCAGAGUGGUUCAAUGGCGUUUUGGUGUCAUCGACUAAUGGGACACAGUGCGUUCCAGAGCAAAUGGUGAAAAAUCUUCUCAUGAAAAAAGCUUUACGUUCGGAUGCAAUUACUCUAAUGUUAAAGUACAACUUGCCGCAAAACGU